UACGUAGGGAGCAAGCGUUAUCCGGAUUUAUUGGGUGUAAAGGGUGCGUAGACGGGAAGGCAAGUUGGUUGUGAAAUCCCUCAGCUUAACUGAGGAACUGCAACCAAAACUAUCUUUCUUGAGUACUGGAGAGGAAAGUGGAAUUCCUAGUGUAGCGGUGAAAUGCGUAGAUAUUAGGAGGAACACCAGUGGCGAAGGCGACUUUCUGGACAGUAACUGACGUUGAGGCACGAAAGUGUGGGGAGCAAAC
This 250-nucleotide ribosomal RNA is filed under the name uncultured bacterium. Its description in RNAcentral is "partial 16S ribosomal RNA". It matches the Rfam family "Bacterial small subunit ribosomal RNA", at positions 524 to 773 of the family's 1533-position model. The record is from RNAcentral.